RNAcentral lists this ribosomal RNA (423 nucleotides) under uncultured bacterium. RNAcentral's name for it is "bacterial SSU rRNA". It matches the Rfam family "Bacterial small subunit ribosomal RNA", at positions 355 to 775 of the family's 1533-position model. The record is from RNAcentral.
UAAGGAAUAUUGGACAAUGCCCGCAAGGGUGAUCCAGCCAUGCCGCGUGCAGGAAGACGGCCCUAUGGGUUGUAAACUGCUUUUACACCGGAGAAAACCUCCCCUCGUGAGGGGAGCUGAUAGUAUGGUGAGAAUAAGCAUCGGCUAACUUCGUGCCAGCAGCCGCGGUAAGACGAAGGAUGCAAGCGUUAUCCGGAUUCAUUGGGUUUAAAGGGAGCGUAGGCGGCCUUAUAAGUCAGUGGUGAAAUCUCCGAGCUUAACUCGGAAAUUGCCAUUGAUACUGUAGGGCUUGAGUACAGUUGCUGUGGGCGGAAUAUGACAUGUAGUGGUGAAAUACAUAGAGAUGUCAUAGAACACCGAUUGCGAAGGCAGCUCACAAAACUGUAACUGACGCUGAGGCUCGAAAGUGCGGGGAUCAAACAG